This 392-nucleotide ribosomal RNA is filed under the name uncultured bacterium. RNAcentral describes it as "partial 16S ribosomal RNA". It matches the Rfam family "Bacterial small subunit ribosomal RNA", at positions 523 to 918 of the family's 1533-position model. The record is from RNAcentral.
ACACGUAGGGGCCUGACGUUGUUCGGAAUCAUUGGGCGUAAAGGGCGCGCAGGCGGCCGUCCAAGUCCGGUGUUAAAUGGUCGGGCUCAACCCGAUCAUGCGCUGGAAACUGGGCGGCUGGAGUCCCGGAGGGGAUGCCGGAAUUCCAGGUGGAGGGGUGAAAUCUGUAGAUAUCUGGAAGAACACCGAUGGCGAAGGCAGGCAUCUGGCCGGAGACUGACGCUGAGGCGCGAAGGCGCGGGGAGCGAACAGGUUUAGAUACCCUGGUAGUCCGCGCAGUAAACGAUGCGCACCAGGUGUCGGGCGGCAGCGCCCGGUGCCGGAGCAAACGCGAUGAGUGCGCCGCCUGGGGGGUAUGCCCGCAAGGGUGAAACUUAAAGGAAUGGACGGGG